AGAGUUUGAUCCUGGCUCAGGACGAACGCUGGCGGCGUGCCUAAUACAUGCAAGUCGAGCGGACAGGUGGGAGCUUGCUCCCUGAUGUUAGCGGCGGACGGGUGAGUAACACGUGGGUAACCUGCCUGUAAGACUGGGAUAACUCCGGGAAACCGGGGCUAAUACCGGAUGGUUGUUUGAACCGCAUGGUUCAAACAUAAAAGGUGGCUUCGGCUACCACUUACAGAUGGACCCGCGGCGCAUUAGCUAGUUGGUGAGGUAACGGCUCACCAAGGCAACGAUGCGUAGCCGACCUGAGAGGGUGAUCGGCCACACUGGGACUGAGACACGGCCCAGACUCCUACGGGAGGCAGCAGUAGGGAAUCUUCCGCAAUGGACGAAAGUCUGACGGAGCAACGCCGCGUGAGUGAUGAAGGUUUUCGGAUCGUAAAGCUCUGUUGUUAGGGAAGAACAAGUACCGUUCGAACAGGGCGGUACCUUGACGGUACCUAACCAGAAAGCCACGGCUAACUACGUGCCAGCAGCCGCGGUAAUACGUAGGUGGCAAGCGUUUUCCGGAAUUAUUGGGCGUAAAGGGCUCGCAGGCGGUUUCUUAAGUCUGAUGUGAAAGCCCCCGGCUCAACCGGGGAGGGUCAUUGGAAACUGGGGAACUUGAGUGCAGAAGAGGAGAGUGGAAUUCCACGUGUAGCGGUGAAAUGCGUAGAGAUGUGGAGGAACACCAGUGGCGAAGGCGACUCUCUGGUCUGUAACUGACGCUGAGGAGCGAAAGCGUGGGGAGCGAACAGGAUUAGAUACCCUGGUAGUCCACGCCGUAAACGAUGAGUGCUAAGUGUUAGGGGGUUUCCGCCCCUUAGUGCUGCAGCUAACGCAUUAAGCACUCCGCCUGGGGAGUACGGUCGCAAGACUGAAACUCAAAGGAAUUGACGGGGGCCCGCACAAGCGGUGGAGCAUGUGGUUUAAUUCGAAACAACGCGAAGAACCUUACCAGGUCUUGACAUCCUCUGACAAUCCUAGAGAUAGGACGUCCCCUUCGGGGGCAGAGUGACAGGUGGUGCAUGGUUGUCGUCAGCUCGUGUCGUGAGAUGUUGGGUUAAGUCCCGCAACGAGCGCAACCCUUGAUCUUAGUUGCCAGCAUUCAGUUGGGCACUCUAAGGUGACUGCCGGUGACAAACCGGAGGAAGGUGGGGAUGACGUCAAAUCAUCAUGCCCCUUAUGACCUGGGCUACACAC
Molecule: ribosomal RNA, 1230 nt
Filed under: metagenome
Description: bacterial SSU rRNA
Rfam family: Bacterial small subunit ribosomal RNA
Source: RNAcentral